Molecule: ribosomal RNA, 208 nt
Filed under: uncultured bacterium
Lineage: Bacteria
Description: partial 16S ribosomal RNA
Rfam family: Bacterial small subunit ribosomal RNA
Source: RNAcentral
GUCUCAGUUCGGAUUGCAGGCUGCAACUCGCCUGUAUGAAGUCGGAAUUGCUAGUAAUCGCGCAUCAGCCACGGCGCGGUGAAUACGUUCCCGGGCCUUGUACACACCGCCCGUCAAGCCAUGGAAGCCGGGGGCGCUUGAAGUGCGUUGCCGCAAGGCGCGCCCUAGAGCGAAACCGGUGACUGGGGCUAAGUCGUAACAAGGUAGC